UACGUAGGGGGCUAGCGUUGUCCGGAAUCAUUGGGCGUAAAGAGCGUGUAGGCGGUCCGGUAAGUCCGUUGUGAAAGUCAGGGGCUCAACCCUUGAAUGCCGGCGGAUACUGUCGGGCUAGAGUCCGGAAGAGGCGAGUGGAAUUCCCGGUGUAGCGGUGAAAUGCGUAGAGAUCCGGAAGAACACCGGUGGCGAAGGCGGCCUGCUGGGCAGUAGCUGACGCUGAGGCGCGACAGCGUGGGGAGCAAACAGG
Molecule: ribosomal RNA, 253 nt
Filed under: uncultured bacterium
Lineage: Bacteria
Description: partial 16S ribosomal RNA
Rfam family: Bacterial small subunit ribosomal RNA
Source: RNAcentral